RNAcentral lists this ribosomal RNA (813 nucleotides) under uncultured bacterium. RNAcentral's name for it is "bacterial SSU rRNA". It matches the Rfam family "Bacterial small subunit ribosomal RNA", at positions 636 to 1449 of the family's 1533-position model. The record is from RNAcentral.
UNUGACUUGAGUGCAGAAGGGGAGAGUGGAAUUCCAUGUGUAGCGGUGAAAUGCGUAGAUAUAUGGAGGAACACCAGUGGCGAAAGCGGCUCUCUGGUCUGUCACUGACGCUGAGGCUCGAAAGCGUGGGUAGCGAACAGGAUUAGAUACCCUGGUAGUCCACGCCGUAAACGAUGAGUGCUAGGUGUUAGGCCCUUUCCGGGGCUUAGUGCCGGAGCUAACGCAAUAAGCACUCCGCCUGGGGAGUACGACCGCAAGGUUGAAACUCAAAGGAAUUGACGGGGGCCCGCACAAGCGGCGGAGCAUGUGGUUUAAUUCGAAGCAACGCGAAGAACCUUACAGGUCUUGACAUCCCGAUGCUAUUCUUAGAGAUAGGAAGUUACUUCGGUACAUCGGAGACAGGUGGUGCAUGGUUGUCGUCAGCUCGUGUCGUGAGAUGUUGGGUUAAGUCCCGCAACGAGCGCAACCCUUAUUGUUAGUUGCCAUCAUUAAGUUGGGCACUCUAGCGAGACUGCCGGUAAUAAACCGGAGGAAGGUGGGGAUGACGUCAAAUCAUCAUGCCCCUUAUGACCUGGGCUACACACGUGCUACAAUGGUCGGUACAACGAGUUGCGAGCCGGUGACUGCAAGCUAAUCUCUGAAAGCCGAUCUUAGUUCGGAUUGGAGGCUGCAACUCGCCUCCAUGAAGUCGGAAUCGCUAGUAAUCGCGGAUCAGCACGCCGCGGUAAAUACGUUCCCGGGCCUUGUACACACCGCCCGUCACACCACGAGAGUUUGUAACACCCGAAGUCGGUGAGGUAACCUUCUAGGGGC